Molecule: ribosomal RNA, 458 nt
Filed under: uncultured bacterium
Lineage: Bacteria
Description: bacterial SSU rRNA
Rfam family: Bacterial small subunit ribosomal RNA
Source: RNAcentral
AGAGUUUGAUCAUGGCUCAGAACGAACGCUGGCGGCAAGGGCUUAACACAUGCAAGUCGAACGCUCGUAGCAAUACGGGAGUGGCGGACGGGUGAGUAACGCGUGGGAACGUGCCCUGAGGUACGGAAUAACUGCGGGAAACUGCAGCUAAUACCGUAUGAGCCCCGUGAGGGGGAAAGAUUUAUCGCCUUAGGAGCGGCCCGCGUCGGAUUAGCUAGUUGUGGGGUAACGGCUUACCAAGGCUUCGAUCCGUAGCUGGUCUGAGAGGACGAUCAGCCACACUGGGACUGAGACACGGCCCAGACUCCUACGGGAGGCAGCAGUGGGGAAUCUUGCGCAAUGGGGGCAACCCUGACGCAGCCAUGCCGCGUGAAUGAUGAAGGCCUUAGGGUUGUAAAGUUCUUUUGCCCGUGACGAUGAUGACGGUAACGGGAGAAUAAGCUCCGGCUAACUUCGUG